CACCUGCCCAGUGACAAGUUUCAACGGCCGGGUAUUUUGACCGUGCGAAGGUAGCGCAAUCACUUGUCUUUUAAAUGAAGACCUGUAUGAAUGGUAGAACGAGGGCUUAACUGUCUCCCCUGUCAAGUCAAUGAAAUUGAUCUGCCCGUGCAGAAGCGGGCAUACUAAUACAAGACGAGAAGACCCUUUGGAGCUUUAGAUCUCAGCGCCACCUAUGUCAAGAAUAACAAAAUUCAACCAAACUAAAUAGUACCUGGCCUUAAUCUUUUGUUGGGGCGACCGCGGGAAAAAAUAAAGCUCCCACGAGGACUGGACAACAACUCCUAAAACCAAGAAAGACAUUUCCAAGUCACAGAACAUCUGACCUUAAAGAUCCGGCAACCUGCCGACCAACGGACCAAGUUACCCUAGGGAUAACAGCGCAAUCCCCUCCCAGAGUCCAUAUCGACAAGGGGGUUUACGACCUCGAUGUUGGAUCAGGACAUCCUAAUGGUGCAGCCGCUAUUAAGGGUUCGUUUGUUCAACGAUUAAAGUCCUACGUGAUC
RNAcentral lists this ribosomal RNA (545 nucleotides) under Myoglanis sp. ANSP 182834. RNAcentral describes it as "partial 16S ribosomal RNA". It matches the Rfam family "Bacterial large subunit ribosomal RNA", at positions 1856 to 2605 of the family's 2925-position model. The record is from RNAcentral. Lineage: Eukaryota; Metazoa; Chordata; Actinopteri; Siluriformes; Heptapteridae.